RNAcentral lists this ribosomal RNA (484 nucleotides) under uncultured bacterium. Its description in RNAcentral is "partial 16S ribosomal RNA". It matches the Rfam family "Bacterial small subunit ribosomal RNA", at positions 30 to 507 of the family's 1533-position model. The record is from RNAcentral.
AUUGAACGCUGGCGGCAGGCCUAACACAUGCAAGUCGAGCGGAUGAAGGGAGCUUGCUCCUGGAUUCAGCGGCGGACGGGUGAGUAAUGCCUAGGAAUCUGCCUGGUAGUGGGGGAUAACGUCCGGAAACGGGCGCUAAUACCGCAUACGUCCUGAGGGAGAAAGUGGGGGAUCUUCGGACCUCCCGCUAUCAGAUGAGCCUAGGUCGGAUUAGCUAGUUGGUGGGGUAAAGGCCUACCAAGGCGACGAUCCGUAACUGGUCUGAGAGGAUGAUCAGUCACACUGGAACUGAGACACGGUCCAGACUCCUACGGGAGGCAGCAGUGGGGAAUAUUGGACAAAGGGCGAAAGCCUGAUCCAGCCAUGCCGCGUGUGUGAAGAAGGUCUUCGGAUUGUAAAGCACUUUAAGUUGGGAGGAAGGGCAGUAAGUUAAUACCUUGCUGUUUUGACGGUACCAACAGAAUAAGCACCGGCUAACUUCGUG